GGAGAAAGAACGAAAGAAAAAGAAAAAGGGAAGGAAAGGAAAAACUAGGGUUUAAGGUUUUAAAGCUUUAAAGGUAAGUCAAUCAAGUUCUUUUCUUUUAAUUUAGAUGUUUUAGAAGUUUUAAAACAAAGUUUUGUUAAAAAUAAGUUGAGCUUUUGGAAGUUUAUAGAUUAUUAAGCAUGGUUCAUGUUGAAUAAAUUGUUAAAUUAGGGAUGUAUUUGAUAGAAAUUUUGAUUGGAAUUGAAUAAAGGAUUGAAUUGUAAACUAAACUAUAGGUUUUGAAUUUUAGGGAUUGAAUUGAAAUAAAUUCGAAAUUAUGAAAAUAUGAAAAAAAUUAGAUAGUUUCAAAAAUGAGUUUGGCAAGAAAAUUGAGUAGCAAGAAAGUAUGAAUUGAGAAAGAAAAAUAUAUAGGUUUAGUUAGGAUUAAAUUGAAAUUAAAGUAAAAGUUAGAUAAAAAUUUCAGCAAUUAAAUUGUGUUGUGCUAAUGAUUAUGAAAAUUAUCUUAAAUUUUUUUGUAGCUAAUAUCGCACCCGAGGCAUCCACGAGGAAAGGAAAAGAAAAAGUGGACGAGGAAUAGACACGAGAAUUACGGUUUGUAUCACUAUAAUUCAAACUUUAUUAUUAUUAAGUGUUUAAUUUGCUAAUUAUGUGUGGUAAGUAUUUUAAGGUAAGUGUUUAAUAAAUGAUAAAUUUAUAAUGUGGUAUUGAAAUUGAAACUGAUACUGAACUAAAUUAUGGAAUACUGGAUAUUGUUUUGAGUACUGAGUGAAUUGAAAAAAAAAUACUAAAUAUUGUUAUGUAUAAUGCAUUGAAUUGUGAAAUUACUGAAGUAAUAAAUUACUGUAAUACUGUGAAACUGAUUGAAAUAAGGAAUUUAUAAUUGAUACUAAACUAAAGUGGAGAUUGUACUGAAAAGUGAAUUAAAUACCCUAUUAACUAGUCGGGCUAGUCGGAUAUAGUUGGCAUGCAUUGGAUAUGGAAGAGUGUCGGGUAUUUGCCGGCUUACUGAUCAGGCACUUAUGUGCCGACUACUGUUACUGUUACCGAUUCAGCACUUUGUGUGUCGAAUACUGUUACCGUUACUGUUACAGAUUCAGCACUUUGUGUGUUGAAUAAUGUCACUGUUACUGUUACUGUUACCAUUAUUGAUUACUGUUUACUGGUGUGUUUGAUUGGAAUCCGUGUAUUCGCCGAGUCCGAGUCAAGUUAAUAGGGACAAAUGAAAUAAAUUUACUGAUAAAAUCAAUCUCGAAUAAUAUAGUAUAUGUGAAAAGUGAAAUUUGAAAUAAAGAAAUAAGAAUGAUAUAUAUAUAGUUAAUUGAUAAUAUAAAAAGAUUGAAUUAUUUAUUAGUAGUGAUAAUUGUAAUGAAAAGUAUGUGUGUGGUUUAAUGUAAUUAAUUAUAAACUGAAUUAUAGUGAUACCACCGAGUAUAUACAUACUCCGUGUACGGUUGUUUCCGUGCGCAGGUUGUAGAAGUCAAGCACUGAACCAGCAUCCAAAGCCAGACCCGACUUCAGCAUACUUUUGGUGAUGUAUAUUUUAUUUUGGUAAUGUGACAUGUACAUAGGAUGUGUAUAAAGGUUAUUAUGUUUUAUUAUAAAUGGUUAAAAAUUUUAGUAUUAUAACUUUAUGAAUUAUAAUGAAAAAAAAAGUUUAUCUAUUGUUAUUUAACUUAGUAUAAUGUUAAAUUUGAAUUGAUAUUAUGUUGAUUAAGUAGAUUAGAAGGUAUUUAGAAUAGGAAUUGAGAAUGUGAAAUGAAUUGGUUGAAUUGGUUAUGAUUAGAAAUGAUAUGGUUUUAAUUGCAGAGGGUUUUAUGUAAAAACAAGCAGAAAUGCUGUCGAAAUUUUUAAAAUAAAAUAAAUAAAAAUAAAAAAUGAAGUACUCGAACGAGUUUCAUUUCACUUUUAAUUCAUGUUUGAAACUUUGAAAGUUUAUUACAGGGACUUAGUUAUACAAUUAUAUUACGACUGAUAUUUUAUUAUGAAUUAUCCAUGAAUUGUUGAUAUGUCUAGUAAUGCCUCGUAACCCUGUUUCGGCGACGGUUUAGGGUUAGGGGGUGUUACUAUGUUAGUUUAUAAGCUUAGAAAUGAAAAAGGACUAAUUUAUAAAGUGAAAGUUGUUAGUUUUGAACAUAAGGACUAAAGUGUAAAGAACUUGAAUUUAAUUUUAAAUUUCUAUAAUUAUAGAUAUUAUAGGGCUAUAGAAGGAUGAUAUUGAAAUAGGAUUGAAAUACGAGGCUUAAAUGUGAAAAUUAUGAUUGUUUCAGUUUUAGGGACUAAAUUGAAUAAAAUGUGAAACUUUAGGAAAUUUUUAAAAAGUGAAAUUAAAGUUUCAUAUUCAUAUAAUAAGAGGUUAUAAGGUAAUUGAAAUUGAUAAUUUGAAAUCAAUUACCGUAUGGAUCAAGAUUUGAAUCAAUCGAUAGAUAAUCGAGGAACAAAGAAAAUUGCAGAUUAGUUCCUAACACUUCAAUUAUUGUUGAUUGCACUUGGUAAGUUCAUAUGGUAUAGUUAUAUUCAUAUAUGUAAUGUUUGUGGUUGAAUUGUGAAUUUAUAGUAUUUGAAUGUACUUUAAACGUUUUACAAAAUGAUACAAAAAAGUGAGGAAAUGAUUGAAUUGUAAAUAGUUGUUAUGAUAUGUUACUUGUGCGUGGAUGAACGUGUGAUAUGAUAGGAUAAAAGUGGCAUGCCAAUAGGUUUAUUCAUACGUUGUGCGAGAUAUGCAUAAGAGAUGAUAUUAAUGUAUGAAAAUUCACUGAUUGUAGCAGAAUCCAACAUUUGUUGUGGAUUACUGAGUUUAUCUCUACGGAGACCACUAUUAUCAGUUGUCUCUACGAAGACUUUGCUGUGGUGGAGGGAUGUACUGAUAUAUGAUAUACGAGCCUAUGGACCUUGCAUUUCGAUGUUUUAGUGUAGUGUAGUUACUGCUCUGAUGAGCUAAUCGGUGUGCUGUAGUCACUCGCGUAUCUGUAUUUGUUUAUUAUAGUUCAUCGAGCUAAACUGUUAAUGAAAAGAGAAAUGACAGAAUGAUGAUAUGAACUGAAAUUGGAAAUGUUCAUUUAAUGUUAGGUUAUUGUAAAUGAAGCAUAACUGACGAUUUCGAUUUAAUGGUACUGAAUUGGAUUGAUGUGUAUAGAUUGAAUCGUUAUAUGAUUUGGUUAUCUUGAACUCACCUUACUGUUGCAAAAUGUAAUGACAGAAAAGUUAUGUAUUUAGCUAUUUUAUUUUGUUAAUCGUGUUUUGAGGUGAGUUGUUGUUUUAAAACCUAUGAACUUACUAAGCAUAUGAAAUGCUUACUUUGUUUCAUUUUCUAUUUUUGUAGUUGGCAUUUUGCGGAAUGUGUUUAUUGGAUCACCCCAAAGCUCACACUAUCCAGCUUCUGACUCAGUAGAUUUUUAAUCAUUCCGAACUUUGUUAUGUGGCAUGUAUAUAGGGGUUGCAUUACAUAUGCGUCAUACUUGAUUUUGGAUAUUUACAUGUUAUGUAUAUAAAUGUGUAUGAUGGCCAAACUUUAAAUGUGGAAUGGUUAAGAUAAUGUUAUGAGAAUGGUGUAAAAUUGUUCAAUAUGUGAUGGUUGGGUGAUAGCUUAAUGCGAUGAC
RNAcentral lists this long non-coding RNA (3596 nucleotides) under Gossypium barbadense (sea-island cotton). RNAcentral describes it as "long non-coding RNA (GBAR_LNC016883)". The record is from RNAcentral. Lineage: Eukaryota; Viridiplantae; Streptophyta; Magnoliopsida; Malvales; Malvaceae.